CGUGAGAGACGGCUACCACAUCCCAAGGAAGGCAGCAGGCGCGUAAAUUGCCCGAAUCCUGACACAGGGAGGUAGUGACAAGAAAUAACAAUACAGGGCUUCUAAAGUCUUGUAAUUGGAAUGAGUACAAUUUACAUCUCUUCACGAGGAUCAAUUGGAGGGCAAGUCUGGUGCCAGCAGCCGCGGUAAUUCCAGCUCCAAUAGCGUAUAUUAAAGUUGUUGCAGUUAGAACGCUCGUAGUCGGAUUUCGGGGCGGGUCGACCGGUCUGCCGAUGGGUACGCACUGGUUGACGCGUCCUUCCUUCCGGAGACCGUCUCACUCUUAACUGAGCGGAGGCGGGAGACGGAACGUUUACUUUGAAAAAAUCAGAGUGUUUCAAGCAGGCAGCUCGCUCUUGCAUGGAUUAGCAUGGGAUAAUGAAAUAGGACUUUGGUGCUAUUUUGUUGGUUUCGAACACCGAAGUAAUGAUGAGAAGGGACAGUCAGGGGCACUCGUAUUCCGCCGAGAGAGGUGAAAUUCUCAGACCAGCGGAAGACGAACCACUGCGAAAGCAUUUGCCAGGGAGUUUUCACUGAUCAUGAACGAAAGUGAGGGCUCAAAU
This 602-nucleotide ribosomal RNA is filed under the name Thraustochytriidae sp. SW8. RNAcentral describes it as "SSU rRNA". It matches the Rfam family "Eukaryotic small subunit ribosomal RNA", at positions 395 to 1003 of the family's 1831-position model. Lineage: Eukaryota; Bigyra; Thraustochytrida; Thraustochytriidae. The record is from RNAcentral.